UGAGGAAUAUUGGUCAAUGGGCGGAAGCCUGAACCAGCCAAGUCGCGUGAGGGAGUAAGGCCCUACGGGUCGUAAACCUCUUUUGCCGGGGAGCAAGCCGUCCCACGUGUGGGCCGGUGGAGAGUACCCGGAGAAAAAGCAUCGGCUAACUCCGUGCCAGCAGCCGCGGUAAUACGGAGGAUGCGAGCGUUAUCCGGAUUUAUUGGGUUUAAAGGGUGCGUAGGCGGGAUGCUAAGUCAGCGGUAAAAUUGCGGUGCUCAACGCCGUAGAGCCGUUGAAACUGGCGUUCUUGAGUGGGCGAGA
RNAcentral lists this ribosomal RNA (303 nucleotides) under uncultured bacterium. Its description in RNAcentral is "bacterial SSU rRNA". It matches the Rfam family "Bacterial small subunit ribosomal RNA", at positions 355 to 655 of the family's 1533-position model. The record is from RNAcentral.